RNAcentral lists this ribosomal RNA (274 nucleotides) under uncultured bacterium. RNAcentral describes it as "partial 16S ribosomal RNA". It matches the Rfam family "Bacterial small subunit ribosomal RNA", at positions 523 to 796 of the family's 1533-position model. The record is from RNAcentral.
AUACGGAGGGUGCAAGCGUUAAUCGGAAUUACUGGGCGUAAAGCGUACGUAGGCGGUCCGUUAAGUUAGAUGUGAAAGCCCCGGGCUUAACCUGGGAACUGCAUUUAAAACUGGCGGACUAGAGUUGAGUAGAGGGGAGUGGAAUUUCAGGUGUAGCGGUGAAAUGCGUAGAGAUCUGAAGGAACACCAGUGGCGAAGGCGACUCCCUGGACUCGAACUGACGCUGAGGUACGAAAGCGUGGGUAGCAAACGGGAUUAGAUACCCCUGUAGUCC